This 428-nucleotide long non-coding RNA is filed under the name Chinchilla lanigera (long-tailed chinchilla). Its description in RNAcentral is "lncRNA (ENSCLAG00000027507.1)". Lineage: Eukaryota; Metazoa; Chordata; Mammalia; Rodentia; Chinchillidae. The record is from RNAcentral.
CGGUUGACAGAACUGCAGAGCUCAGUACAGUACUGCAAAGCCAGGGUUGCCACCACCACUGCCCUGGGCUCUCCACUUCUUGUCUCCUACAUCUACUGCAGCCUGCUGUCUUCUGAAAUGCCAGUCUCAUCCUGGCUUGCCACAUCCCGGGUCACAACAGCUAAUAUUUAUUGAGUAUUUACUAUGCUGGGCACUGUGUGAAGCAUUUAUUAUCCAAUUUAAUCCUCAGAAUAAAUCCCACAGAAUUGCUCCCAUUUGACAGAGAAGUAGAGGGAGGCUCAGACAGGUUAAGUAAAUUGUGCAGGUAAAUUGCAGGUUACGUUUCAGGCUUCAUUCAUCCACUUAAUUACACCCUCUCCCACUGUGGAGUCACAGCAGCAUGAUGGCAGAAUGCACUGGGCGUGGUGACACCUCCGUCACAUGCCAUC